This 379-nucleotide ribosomal RNA is filed under the name uncultured eukaryote. RNAcentral's name for it is "partial 18S ribosomal RNA". It matches the Rfam family "Eukaryotic small subunit ribosomal RNA", at positions 592 to 976 of the family's 1831-position model. The record is from RNAcentral.
UCAAGGUGUAUAUCGCCAUUGCUGCGGUUAAAAAGCUCGUAGUUGGAUCUGCGCCUUCGGACUCGGCCCGCCCAACGGGUGUGAACUGGGAUCCAAGGCUUAUACUGCUGGUUUUCCCUUGAUGCUCUUUACUGGGUGUCUUGGGUGGCUAGCGAGUUUACUUUGAAAAAAUUAGAGUGCUUAACACAGGCUAACGCCUGAAUACUUGUGCAUGGAAUAAUAGAAUAAGACCACGGUUCUAUUUUAUUGGUUUUCGGAACUGUGAUAAUGGUUAAGAGGGACAGACGGGGGCAUUCGUAUCGCUGCGUGAGAGGUGAAAUUCUUGGACCGCAGCGAGACGCCCUACUGCGAAAGCAUUUGCCAAGAAUGUCUUCGUUAA